AGAAUCAACGCUGGCGGCGUGCCUAACACAUGCAAGUCGAACGCGAAAACCCCGAAAGGGGUGAGUAGAGUGGCAAACGGGUGAGUAACGCGUGGGUGACCUGCCUUCGAGCGGGGGAUAACGUUCCGAAAAGGACGCUAAUACCGCAUAACAUCCUGCCUUUGAACAGGUGGAGAUCAAAGCUGGGGAUUCGCAAGAACCCGGCACUUGAAGAGGGGCUCGCGUCUGAUUAGCUAGUUGGUGAGGUAACGGCUCACCAAGGCAACGAUCAGUA
RNAcentral lists this ribosomal RNA (274 nucleotides) under uncultured bacterium. RNAcentral's name for it is "partial small subunit ribosomal RNA". It matches the Rfam family "Bacterial small subunit ribosomal RNA", at positions 26 to 285 of the family's 1533-position model. The record is from RNAcentral.